This 492-nucleotide ribosomal RNA is filed under the name uncultured bacterium. RNAcentral's name for it is "partial 16S ribosomal RNA". It matches the Rfam family "Bacterial small subunit ribosomal RNA", at positions 29 to 507 of the family's 1533-position model. The record is from RNAcentral.
AGUGAACGCUGGCGGUAGGCCUAACACAUGCAAGUCGAACGGCAGCACAGUAAGAGCUUGCUCUUACGGGUGGCGAGUGGCGGACGGGUGAGGAAUACAUCGGAAUCUACCUUUUCGUGGGGGAUAACGUAGGGAAACUUACGCUACUACCGCAUACGACCUACGGGUGAAAGCAGGGGAUCUUCGGACCUUGCGCGAUUGAAUGAGCCGAUGUCGGAUUAGCUAGUUGGCGGGGUAAAGGCCCACCAAGGCGACGAUCCGUAGCUGGUCUGAGAGGAUGAUCAGCCACACUGGAACUGAGACACGGUCCAGACUCAUACGGGAGGCAGCAGUGGGGAAUAUUGGACAAUGGGCGCAAGCCUGAUCCAGCCAUACCGCGUGGGUGAAGAAGGCCUUCGGGUUGUAAAGCCCUUUUGUUGGGAAAGAAAAGCAGCAGGUUAAUACCCCGCUGUUCUGACGGUACCCAAAGAAUAAGCACCGGCUAACUUCGUG